This is a long non-coding RNA of Aedes aegypti (yellow fever mosquito), 1317 nucleotides long. RefSeq lists it as uncharacterized. The record is from RefSeq and is a predicted model, not a curated record. Lineage: Eukaryota; Metazoa; Arthropoda; Insecta; Diptera; Culicidae. The transcript is spliced from 2 exons.
UGUAUAUUUUAAAUCCGCAUUACAUAUAAGCAUAUUAAUUAUGAGUUGCUUUAGCAAUUUGGCAAUUAUCACAAUUAAUUACUUCUGUUCUGCCACUUUAUUUGAGAAAAAAUAAGGCUGUGCCUUUUUAUGAACAUCAUUUGUGAUUGCGCCCUUGUUGAAUUCGCCUGCUGUCAAAACAUGAAUCCAAUUACGCCCGCCAUCCAAGUCCAAUUGGAAAAUCAGGUGUCAAGUGCGCCUCUUUGUUUUGACAUUUUGUUCUCAGCUGUUGCAAUUGCGCCCUUCUGCACUAGUUUGUUUUUUCAAUAGUAAAGUGAAGAUAAACAUAUUUGUGAACUGAAAAUGAACUCUUUCACUGAUUAUAUCACCUUGAUGCUGCGGGAGUGCUCUGAGCUAGGCUCCGAGAUGUUUGCCGCCUACAAUGUGAAGAAGUCUGAGGAACCCCGGAAGUCCAGUCUCUUUAGCUGCGCAACUGAAUCUGAUUGUCACUCCUUCGGAUAGAUUCGAUAGCAUCCUUGGCAGCACCAUCAUUCUAUCGCAAUUAUUGAUUGACCAGAUCCGCUUUCCGGUCGGGUGGCAUCUGUGACUUGCAUUCACUGCUCGUACGACGAGGCUUCUCAGAUUAUUGGCUUCCUUCUGUGGGUCGCAGUAAGUAUAUGUAAAGCAUUUUAUCAAAAUUACUUAUAUUCAGAUGAAAGUCAGAAUUAUCGAAACGCGAAAAUAUCUGUUUUCCCCAAAUCUAUACGUUGAACCAUUGGUUAAAUUUUAUGUCGGGCAGAUUAUAUCAGCGGAUCUGGUGUGCUACACUGUGCACCUUAUGCCCGACGUAGCUUCAACGCAUGGAUUUGGAGAAAAUCGGGUUUUCGCGUGUCGAAAAUUACGAUUUUCAACUGUGUGAAUAUUACAUUUCCGCGAAUUAAAUGCAAUGCAUCUAUUUGACGACUUCUCUGCACUUUUUCUUUAGCUUAUGACAAAUGCAAUGAAUGCACGAUGUCGAUUCACGUGACCUUUCGAUUUUAUUUGUUAAAAAAUUGAAUUUCGAGUUAAAUUGCAAAUGCAACUCAUGUUAAGGAUCUCACUUAUCGUUAGCAAACUAAUAACAGUAAUAAUAAGUAAAAUUAUGUGGAAAAUGAGUACAAAUAUGUAAAAUGCCCAUUAUAGAAUUUGAAGUUUAGAUAAGCCCUUUUGUCACCAUAUGUUCUGUAUACAGGAAAAUGGGCGAAAUGGCACUCAAGGAAAAACCAGUUCAUUUUUCAAUUACGCCCAUUUGUUUUUUUAGUUUUACUUGAUAUUAAGAUCAAUAAAAUUAAAAUUUUA